RNAcentral lists this long non-coding RNA (5296 nucleotides) under Podarcis lilfordi (Lilford's wall lizard). The record is from RNAcentral. Lineage: Eukaryota; Metazoa; Chordata; Lepidosauria; Squamata; Lacertidae.
AAAUCUACAUGAAGCCAUGGGGAAGGGUGGACAUUAAGAGAUUUGGAGUAAAAUAUUGUCUGAGUCAAGAGAGGCUGUGCUGGUCCUGGACCAGCACCUGGAUAGUGGAGUGAGCUCAACCUGUAGACUACCUGGCAUCUGAGGUAAAGUCUGACUCCGUGUGUGUUACUACAGUUCUGUGGAAACCAAGGGCCUUCUUGGGCCUAAGCAGCUCAAUGGCUCCUUAGUUGCUUCUAUUCCUCACCUUCCUGCACCUAUAUAAAUUUUCCUUUCUUGUCAAAUCACAGGGGUGCCAUCUCUGCAGGUCUGUGGGGGCCAAGGCCCCCCAGCAUUUUCAAUGAAGGGACUGGACCCCCCCAAAAAAAUUCUGUGGUGGCAUGUGCGCAUCACAUGGGGCAUAGGGAUGUCAUAUGGCCCUGGGCCCCCGCAAUCAUGGGGCAAGGCGGUGGAAGUCACCCUGAGGGUCAUCUAGUCCAACCCCCUGAAACACAUGGUCCCUCAUCCAAUUUGAAACCAUACUAGAUCCUACUUAGCUUUGCAAAUAUGCUAGCAGUUUUACCGCUGCACCACUAUAUGUUCCACUAUACAAUCAAUCAAUCAACCAAACAACCACUCAGUCCCCUUAACAGAGAAAACCAGUGUGUCACAUGCAGGGUACAUUGUUCCGCAGAGAAGAAUUCCAUCAUGUUAGCCUCCUCCACCUGCAGUUUUUAAUGGUACAGUCCAGAAAUAGCUUUUAUUACCUCAGUGAAAACUAGGCUUCUGUUCAACGAAGACACACACAUUUCAUUGCUCAUGGCUCUUCCAUCUUUUUCUGCUAUAUGCUUCCUCUGAGUUUGGUCCCACUUGUACCCACUUCUGUUAGCUAACCCACCCUGCCUUUCCCAGUUGCCUUGCUAACCAGUUUGGCCCCCGCCUUUGGGUGAUUUGAUGCUUCUGCCGAACCCGAUGCAAAGGGGGCACAGGGCUCUUCCACCAGGUGACAGUUGGAGUGGGUGGCUUCCUGCAGCUCAUCUUUUCUCGUCUGGACCACUUCACUGCGAUACUCCUUGAAUGGAACAGGCACCUCUGGCACGGGACACCUUGUUUAUGUAACCGCUCUCUGACUGUGGCUUACCAGAAUUUGCUUAACGUGGGAUAUUCUGCAGCAAAACCUCAGUUUGCCUGCCUUCCACCUUAAGAGAAUUCCCUGCUGCCAGCUCCAUUUGUAUCUAAGAAUCCAUUACUGUAGGGUCUCCAUGGCUUUACUCAGCUUGGCACCCAUUCAAACACCUGCUUCCUACCUGUCCUUUUUAGGAAACAUCAUUGCUGCCGCUGCCAGUGAAAGUUUGGGAGCCGGGGAAGAGAAGAGAAGAGAAGAGAAGAGAAGAGAAGAGAAGAGAAGAGAAGAGAAGAGAAGAGAAGAGAUGACUGAGCAGCAGCAGGAAGUGAAGCAGAGCUUAGGCAGGAGCCAAGAGCAGGCAUCUCCCCAGCAGUCUAGCUAUCCUGGAAGAGCCAUGCCCUUUCAGAUGCCAGCAUGGAGUCUUCUGCCACCCUGCUGGGCAGCUGGAAACCCAUAAUCAUUGCUAAUUGGCCUCUGCACAGGUACCUUAGAUUCAGUCUUGCCUUCCUAUUUAUGGAGCGGGGUGGGGGGUGGGGAGGCCGUAGGAUAGGCAGGCUCAGCUGAAAAGCUUGGGGUACAGAGUGGGAACUCCCAGAGAGGCUAAGCAACUGGAACAGAGCAAACAUGGCAAGCUCCCUUCCCCAAUGCAACUUCUUGUUUUGCUUUUUUUAACAGCCCAGAGACAGGGAGGCCUUCCAUUUCUGUGAUAUGUGUACUUAUUUUAGAUCUAACUUAACAGAAGUCGGCCCCUUGGGGGGGGGGGGAGCGAUGGAGCAGGGAAAUGGCAACACCAAGCAGAGAGGGCAAUCUGUCUCCAGGGGGUAGAACACCCUUUGCCUUGCUCAGAUCAUGCUUAUUCAAAAGCUUGCUGUUUCUUUUCCCAACAGCUGUUGAGAGGAAAAAGGUGUAUCCCCUGCCAUAAAACCCUGCUCAGGCGUCUCUGAAUCUCUUGCAGUUCUUGGUCAUAAUUGCAGGAUUAAGUUUGGCAUUCCAAAUAGUCACAUUCAACAGUCAUGUGCUCCUCCCCAGAAACAGGUGCAUCUUGGCACUGGCUGAGGGCAUCCUGUAACAUCAGUUGCCCCCACACCAGGGUGGAGUGGGGCUGAUCUUUGCCACCGGAGGCAGAAAUAUGGUCCUUACCAUGGAAACAGCUGUUGGGAAGUUGGUGCUGUGUAUGCUUCUGGUUGCUGUGGCAACACUUCCUGGCAGUGGCCCUGCACGCUGUCACUCCCCCUCCUCCGAACUGUCAUCUCCCAACACCCCCUCCCCUCCACCCUGAAUAUAUCCUAGCAACCUGCCGCUACAUUAGCCUUGCGGUUGGCAUGCCAAAGAGCUCACUUAGCAACACCAGCCGCGCUUCUGACUGAGGGUGCAAUCCAGGGAGUCCUGGCUCCCAGCUCUCAAUCCCCCCCAACUAUGACAAGAUGGGCCCCUGACUUUGGAGUAAUGACAUAUUUUUUUAAUGGGGGGGGCCGCGGGAGGACAGAUCCCUAUUUGGAGUUGUGUAGCUGGUGGCAAGACCCCACUCCUCUCCUAAACAACCAAGAGCUUCUUGUCUCCCCAGUCAGUCGCAGCCACCAAUUCUGCCACGGAGACAGUGGCAUGUGAAGGCGGCUCCUUGGGGCUCUGCAUUGCUGACAGCAGGUGGGGGAGGGGGGGACAGUGAUAGCAAGGUGCUGGAAACAGCUCCCUCCCCUCCCCCAGCAAGCAUCACAGGAAUGGUAUGUCCUUGGGAGAAACAUCAGCACUUCCCCACCACCACCUCUCACACACUAAUACAGUGGUACCUCAGGUUACAUACGCUUCAGGUUACAGACUCCGCUAACCCAGAAAUAGUGCUUCAGGUUAAGAACUUUGCUUCAGAUUGAGAACAGAAAUCGUGCUCUGGCAGCGCGGCAGCAGCAGGAGGCCCCAUUAGCUAAAGUGGUGCUUCAGGUUAAGAAUAGUUUCAGGUUAAGUACGGACCUCCGGAACGAAUUAAGUACUUAACCUGAGGUCCCACUAUAUAUACAAAAUAUGGGGUGCUGGAGAGAGCAAGGAGCUGAGGGCAUGCCAAGGAGGAGGAAGGCACAAAGAAGAAUGAAGGGGAGAAUGGGGUGAGGGCUGCAUUUUGCUCUCCUCCAUCAGGAGCAACACCCGGAGUGUCGGCUCUGCAUGUCAGAACACUGGUCCUGCCCCCAAAGCAUGCCACUGAUACAGUCCCACAAUAGUUCAUUCACGGCUCGGAAGGGCUGCAGUUCAGGGGCAGGACAUCUGCUCUGCAUGCAGAAGGCUCAAGCCCAGCAUCUCCAGGCAGGGCUGGGAAUGUCCCCUGCCUGAAACCCUGGGGCCCUGCUGCCAGUUAGUGUGGACAGUACUAAGAUAGAUGGCGGUCUCUGUGACCCAAUGCCCCACUUCUCCUUGCUCAUCUUCCGGAGGGAUGGGAAAGCAGUCAGUAUGGGCAGAUGAGGGUAUCCAGUAAGGCCUAAGGCCUUACCACUAGGCUGGAGCCGUUUAUUGGCCUUGCUGGAUUUUGCCACCAUCCGUGCACCAUUGGGAAGCUCCAACUCUGGUCCCAGCUAUCCAGAGACACUGCCUCCGACCCCUGCAGGGAUGUGGUCUGCCAAACUCCUGCUAAACUUUGGCAAAGCUCCCAGCAAGGACAGGCUUUUAGCUAAUGAAGCCGGCCUGGGCGUGUUGGCAGCCCAUUAAACUGCUGUUCAAACAUGUUCUGCUGGCACUCAGUGGGUGCUGGUGCAGCAACAGCCAAGACAAACUGAUUCCUUUCUCCUCCUGCCUCUGUGUACUGGGCUCGAUCCUUUGAGCACUGACACCAAGAAUCACCCCAGAGCUUCCUGCUCUGCAGUAAAGUCACAUUGCACAGCAGUGCUCUCAUCGAACACCAUCACAGCACAAAAUGCUUUCCCACAAAUUCAUCGGAAAGAGCAUCAGGCCAAACAAGUCAUAUCACACCGUUCCAGAGUAGUCACCAUAUUACCCUACUGCUGCCAUGAUACAACAGCCCUAUAGAAAAGCUUGUCUGCCAUCAAACUUCCACUGUGCUAUUGGAGAGAUCAGAAGGGUUGUUCCUGCUUAGCAGUGAUGCCCAGUCAUAAUCAAAAGCAGGUCUGUUAUGAGCCAAAGGUGAGGCAGCAGACUAUGUGUCCCACCAAGGGGGGCGGUGUGGGAAACAUAACCCACAAGGCACACUCCACCCAUAAGGGGAGUUCAUCAGCAUAAACUCUUUUGUGCCAGAGCUGUGGAUUGUGAGCAGGAGCUGUGCGGAGGCAUUGCAGUGCUCUGUGGUUUCUCAACGCAGAAUUUUGGGCUCUGAGGUGGCUGUUGCUCCUUUAGAGUAACAUUUCAAUUUGUGGAAUUGCUCCCAUAAAAUACCUAGCAAAACAGACCAACUACAGAAAUCAUAGAAUCAUAGAAUGUUUUUCAUUUCUUUAAUGAGGUACGAUCUGCAUAAGAUUUACCUUUUUAGAAAGCAGCUUGCCAAACAAUGGCACAUUAUGGGAUGUGGCAUGGACAGCACAGCAUUCUCACACAAUUUUCUGCAGCAGAUAAGCAUGAAAAAUCUGCCUUUUCUUUAGCACACCCUAUGAAAAUAUGGUCCUGCCACAUUGCAGUUUUCCCACAAUGCUCUGCCACAUCACCUGAACUUUUCUUCCCGUGAGAUGUAGCAAUGUGUCAAUCCAUUCAUGCUCACCUGCUGUCGCAUUGGGACAUGGGCUGACUGCAGCAUUGCAAUAAAGCAACCAAAGGUGGAAACAGCUCAGUGGACCAAUGCAGCACGAGGGGAGCAAUUUGUAAUCCUGCUGUCAAUAAAACAUUACAGAGCAAGAUGUGAAGGGAAACCUCCCCUGCCAUAACUGCAGUCCCAACACUUUUUGCCACAUUCCCUACAAACAAAGGAGACAGAGAUGGAAAAGAGGGUUAGAUGGUAUUUUAAUGGCAUGUCUGAAUCUUAUGCUUGGGAUUCCCUAUGUCUUUUUCUUUACAGAAAGUAGCCAUAAGGGAUCCAAAUUAGAAGAAUGGCAUCCACCCUUUUCCCUGAUGAAAAUCACUAGAGACAGACUGACAAUGUUUGGUUGCCGCUGGUCAUGUGACAAACAGAAGAGAGUGCACAGUGGCAACCCAUUCACCAAGUUGCAUGACGGGCACAGAAGUGACUAGUGGAAGGUGGCUUAAGUGGGGGACAGACAAAGCACU